RNAcentral lists this long non-coding RNA (291 nucleotides) under Scleropages formosus (Asian bonytongue). RNAcentral's name for it is "lncRNA (ENSSFOG00015032986.1)". The record is from RNAcentral. Lineage: Eukaryota; Metazoa; Chordata; Actinopteri; Osteoglossiformes; Osteoglossidae.
CUGCCCACUUGUGAAACGCACUUUUGUUUUAUCUGAGUCAUACAUCGCUUUGCAGAAGUGCUAAACGAGAAAAUGCAAAUCAGUGCAACACGAAGCUGCCUAGUAUGUUGAAUAAUUCUGCAUCAUGGCAAAGAAUGGGGUGUCUUCUUUCUCCCUGUGAGAAAAAGCAGCGAAUUAAAAAGGCCGCUUUCUGAAGAAGGUGGAGAACACAAUGAGACAACGGCACAAAUGAGGGAAAGGAGGUUCCGUGUCCUCUGGUAAGAGAACCGUAAAAAAUGUUUGCAAACUAAA